UUUAUCCACAUCAAUGUUGGAGAUCCAGCUUGCGUCCUCCAUGCAGAUACUUUUUCUGCUGCUGUGGCUGCCUCCUCAGAUCCCUCUGUACAGAAACCAAGGGGAGGGGAGCAAGGGUUGGAGAAGCCCCAUAAGAGGAAGAUUUAUUCUCCAUUCAACAGGCAUUUAUUAAAUAUCUAUUAUAUACGUGACACUGUAGCAAAUGAAAUGGUUGGAAGAAAGGAAGUGGAAAGCAUUUUUAGCUACCCCUAUCCCAACUUGUGCCAAACUCAUUCUCUAUUAUGAAAUGACCCUUCUCUUACUGGUCCUGGAAAUUGUUAGUAUUGUUAUUGUAUACUUAAUGUUUUGCAAUAUUUUAAGAUUAUAAAGUUCACUGGAUGGCCAGUUCCCUCAGGGCAAACGGAGUCCCAACCCAAGAACAUAGGAAAUUGAUAGAAAAUCAAAUGAAGUUGGUAAUUUUAGCUUUUAUGCACUUGGGAAGAGUCCUUAGGUUGGGAAGUGAACUUUGAAAUUCUAAAAUACUCCAGUUCUUACUCUGCCAAAGUAGAGAGAGGGAGAGAGAGAGAGAGAGAGAGAGAGAGAGAGAGAGAGAGAGAGAGAGAGAGAGAGAGAGAGAGAGAAACUAUGAGCAAGAAGGUCCAGGGAUUAAAAUGAUGAAAGCUAUUAAAAACCACUUGGAAUACACCUAAAUUAGGUUGAGAUAAUAACUAGUGGUGAAGAAAUUGGGCUUUAUCUAAAAGAAGAACCGGCCUUACAUAUGGUUAUUGAGCAUAUUUCAGACCAGAGACAAGAACAGAAUGGGGCAAGAACAGAACUUCCCAAACUGGGUUCACACAGGGUUAAAAGGAGUCUAUCGUUACACCUUUGCAAAUUUAACAAUCUUAAGUGUCUUGUUCCUUAUUUUGUUUUAUUGUACUUUCCCUACAUCUUCAAUUGUUAGUGUUGUCUUCCUUCUUGAAUUAACUUGUAUUUACAUAUUUGGUUACAUGUUGCAUUCAUUCCUCUAAAUAUAAUAUAGAAAUCCUU
Phascolarctos cinereus (koala) is the source of this 1026-nucleotide non-coding RNA. The record is from RefSeq and is a predicted model, not a curated record. NCBI's taxonomy places the organism in Eukaryota, Metazoa, Chordata, Mammalia, Diprotodontia, Phascolarctidae.